RNAcentral lists this unclassified non-coding RNA (312 nucleotides) under plant metagenome. RNAcentral's name for it is "partial contains 5.8S ribosomal RNA, internal transcribed spacer 2, and large subunit ribosomal RNA". The stretch from base 1 to 105 matches the Rfam family "5.8S ribosomal RNA", at positions 50 to 154 of the family's 154-position model. The record is from RNAcentral.
GAAAUGCGAUAAGUAAUGUGAAUUGCAGAAUUCCGUGACUCCUCGAAUCUUUGAACGCACAUUGCGCCCUCUGGCAUUCCGGGGGGCAUGCCUGUCCGAGCGUCAUUACGCACCCUCAAGCCCGGCUUGUGUGAUGGGCCCCGGCGUCUCGUUCGCGAGACGGGCCCGAAAGGCAGCGGCGGCGUCGACCCGAUGAGCCCGAGCGUAUGGGGACUUCUGUCACACGUUCGCGGUGCGGACCGGCGCCUGCUUGACUUUUCUGAUUAUCCAGGUUGACCUCGGAUCAGGUAGGGAUACCCGCUGAACUUAAGC